Molecule: long non-coding RNA, 361 nt
Filed under: Phoenix dactylifera (date palm)
Lineage: Eukaryota; Viridiplantae; Streptophyta; Magnoliopsida; Arecales; Arecaceae
Description: long non-coding RNA (PDAC_LNC015491)
Source: RNAcentral
CACCUAUUGGGAUGCCACCUCAACACCAUAUCAGCAAUCAUCUUAACCAGACGCCACCUCAACACCACAUCAGCAAUCAUCUCAACCAAGAGGAUAAUGCCAAAUGGAAGAGUCAAAAUCAAAAGAACCAAUCACCAUGCCACCUCAUACAAGUUGACACGUCACCCAAAUUCAAAGUCCAAGAGGUCGGCCACAAUUUAAAUGCAAGAAAAUUUCAAAUGGGAGCCAACAAUUUUUCAAAUCCUCCCCCUUAAAGCCGGCCAACUUUCUUUUCUUUUCUCUAGCAACCAAGCCUUCAAAUGUGGAGCGCCAUUCAUUAUGUGUUUAAAUUUCAAAUCAUGAGGAAAGUCUAUAAAUACCU